This 76-nucleotide transfer RNA is filed under the name Pseudoalteromonas maricaloris. Its description in RNAcentral is "tRNA-Val". It matches the Rfam family "tRNA". Rfam says of the family: Transfer RNA (tRNA) molecules are approximately 80 nucleotides in length. The record is from RNAcentral. Lineage: Bacteria; Pseudomonadati; Pseudomonadota; Gammaproteobacteria; Alteromonadales; Pseudoalteromonadaceae.
GGGUUGUUAGCUCAGUUGGGAGAGCAUCGCCCUUACAAGGCGAGGGUCACUGGUUCAAGUCCAGUACAAUCCACCA